UAAUAACAACUUUACUACUUUCAAAAUGAUAUGUCAUUUUCCUGUCUAACAUCUUAGCUUUUGUAGAAACGGGAAUUCAUUGGAGAACGUUAUUUUUCGUCCUUUGUUUUUAGCGACUUUUCAGAAGCAAUUUGUCACGAUGCCACUAACACCUGCCGAAAGACAAAAGUUCUAUCGGGAAAGGCUAAAAGAAAAAAUACUAAAAUGUUUUUAGCCCAGAAGAUAAAAAAUGCUGAGAGAACAAAACGAAAGAGAAAGAAUAUAUCAGAAUAUUCACCGCCAGAACAGGAAAAUAUUAGAAAACAGUGGAGGGAGAGAAAAAAGAAAAGCAAAGAAGAAAUUAAAUCUGAAAAAGUUCCUACAGUUGACAAUGCAGCAAUUUUAAAACAGAAGAUAAAUCAAAAUAGAAGAUUAUAUUACAAGCUAAAAACUAAAAACAUAACAUUUAAACAGCGUUUAAUACAAUCGAAGAAAUCUUUGAAAAUAAUUCAGCAAAAAUUGACAAGAUAUCAACGAAAAAACGAUGAGCUUCUUGAAAUUAUCAAGGUAAAAGACAAAUUAAUAAGUGCAUAUGAAGAAAUUCUGAAUUUAAAUGCUAAACUCAAAAGGAAGAAGAGAUUUUAAACAAAUGACCCCCUUCGCGAAAACGGAUGCUUAUAUCUAUCAAAAUUUACCUUCUAUAGGCCCUGAAGAAAAGGAAAGAGUGAAAAAACACUGCUUGAACAUCACGUCAUUGUGGAUAUUAUACAGAAAAUUUACAAAAGUAACAACGCAGAAGAAAAACGCACGAUAAAAAAAAAUAUUUAGCAAUAAUGAGACCAUAAAUAGAUACGGUAUGAAAACCAAAAUGGCUACCUAUUUGGCCUUAAAAGGAAAUAUUCGUCAUACACGACAGAAAAUUAAAAAUUGCUGUGUACAGAACCUUUUCAGAGACUUUUAUGGGAGGGAUUAGUAAAAGAGGGUACUGAACAGUUAUUUUAUGAAGAUGAAAAAAAUAUAGACACUUAUUUAGAAGGUACUGAAGUAAGUGAAAAGACAGAAUUUGUAUUAGCAGUUCCUCAGAAGAAUGAUACAAAUGACACUGAAUUGACGUUGGAAGGUCGACCAGACAUAUUGCGGGUAUGUUUCAAAGGCACUGUACUUGUAUGAUACUACCAAAGAGACACAUGGAAAUAUUACAUCGGUUUUAUUGAAGAUAUUCGAGUUGUAGAAGAAAAUACGAUUUUUGAAACCAAUCCUAAAAUUUGUUCAAAAAAUUAACGAUCAAGACACAUUUACCGAAGAUUUAAUUGUAAAACUCAUUAAGAUUACGCAAAAUACGGAACGGCCAAAAGAAUACUUUUUGGCUGCUGCUAGCGACAGCUUUUAUUUUGAUUAGGAUAUAAUAAUAUUUUUCUUAGUUAAAUAAACAAAUUGGUGCA
Long non-coding RNA from Manduca sexta (tobacco hornworm), 1421 nucleotides. RefSeq lists it as uncharacterized. Lineage: Eukaryota; Metazoa; Arthropoda; Insecta; Lepidoptera; Sphingidae. The record is from RefSeq and is a predicted model, not a curated record. The transcript has 2 exons.